GAGGGUAUAACUCAGUGGUGGAGUUUGUGCUUAGCAUGCACAAGGUCCUGGGUUCAACCCACAGUACCUCCA
Transfer RNA from Camelus ferus (Wild Bactrian camel), 72 nucleotides. It matches the Rfam family "tRNA". From Rfam's summary of the family: Transfer RNA (tRNA) molecules are approximately 80 nucleotides in length. Their secondary structure includes four short double-helical elements and three loops (D, anti-codon, and T loops). Lineage: Eukaryota; Metazoa; Chordata; Mammalia; Artiodactyla; Camelidae. The record is from Rfam.